Non-coding RNA from Chlorocebus sabaeus (green monkey), 926 nucleotides. NCBI's taxonomy places the organism in Eukaryota, Metazoa, Chordata, Mammalia, Primates, Cercopithecidae. The record is from RefSeq and is a predicted model, not a curated record.
UUGGUGCUUCCUGUGGCCGACGUCAUCUGGAGGAGAUUUGCUUUCCUUUUCUCCAAAAGGGGAGAAAGUUGAAACUGAGUGGCCCACGAUGGGAAGAGGGGAAGCCCAGGGGUACAGGAGGCCUCUGGGUGAAGGCAGAGCCUAACAUGGGGUUCAAAGCAACCUUGGCUGUUGGCCUGCCCAUCUUUGUGCUGUCUGUCGUCACUAUCAUCAUCUGCUUCACCUGCUCCUGCUGCUUUCUGUACAAGACGUGCCGCCGACCAUGUCCCUCCAAGUGUGCUGCCCAGCUACCCUGGACCAAGCUACCAGGGCUACCACACCAUGCCGCCUCAGUCAGGGAUGCCAGCAGCACCCUACCCAAUGCAGUACCCACCACCUUACCCGGCCCUGCUCAUGGGCCCACCGGCCUACCACAAGACCCUGGCUGGAGGAGCAGCCGCGCCCUACCCUGCCAGCCAGCCUCCUUACAACCCAGCCUACAUGGAUGCCCCCAAGGCGCCCCUCUGAGCAUCCCCCAGCCUCUCUGGCUGCCACUUGGUUAUGUUGUGUGUGUGUGAGUGGUGUGCAGGCACGGUUCCUUACGGCCCAUGUGUGCUGUGUGUGUCCUGCCUGUAUAUGUGGCUUCCUCUGAUGCUGAUGAGGUGGGGAACGAUCCUUGCCAGAGUGGGCUGGGACCAGACUUUGUUUUCUUCCUCACCUUAAAUUAUGCUUCCUAAAAAUCUCAAGCCAAACUCAAAGAAUGGGGUGGUGGGGGCACCCUGUGAGGUGGCCCCUGAGAGGUAGGGGGUUCUCCAGAGCACAUCUGGAGUUCUUCUCCAGCUUACCCUAGGGUGACCAAGUAUGGCCUGUCACACCAGAAUGGCGCAGCUUUCUGUAUGAUGCAGAUGUGUCCUGGUUUCAGCAGCGUAGCCAGCUGCUGCUGGAGG